Molecule: ribosomal RNA, 222 nt
Filed under: Rasamsonia oblata
Lineage: Eukaryota; Fungi; Ascomycota; Eurotiomycetes; Eurotiales; Trichocomaceae
Description: Penicillium oblatum partial 28S ribosomal RNA
Rfam family: Eukaryotic large subunit ribosomal RNA
Source: RNAcentral
GGUUGACCUCGGAUCAGGUAGGAGUUACCCGCUGAACUUAAGCAUAUCAAUAAGCGGAGGAAAAGAAACCAACAGGGAUUGCCUCAGUAACGGCGAGUGAAGCGGCAAGAGCUCAAAUUUGAAAUCUGGCCCCUUGGGGUCCGAGUUGUAAUUUGCAGAGGAUGCUUCGGGAGCGGUCCCCAUCUAAGUGCCCUGGAACGGGACGUCAUAGAGGGUGAGAAU